GACGCUAGGUUCCGGAACCUGACCUGAGCUGGGGCCUGUGCUUCCAGCGGGUGGUGGGGGGCCUGGUGUGCUGGCAUCAAGUAAGCCGACUACCUCGGCAAAGGCUUAGGGACAAGAGACCAGCAGCCUGAACUGGCUGGGGCAUCCGGAAGGCUUAGAUCUUGUGGCCAAGAGUUCAGACCGUGGCGAAGUGGAGAGUGACAUGCAGUUGGAUGGCGGUGACUGCGUGGUCCUGCAACCCUGGUUCCAGUCUGGCAAGCAUUGUAGACCUGGCUGCUGAAGACUGACGGGGCCCAGGGUCCGCUGCCCCCACCGCCAUCACCACCUCGGAACCCAGGGUAACGCUGUCAGUCUUUGGUAAGCCCAUGCUCUUCCUUUUAGAUCUGGGGACUAGUUACUCAGUUUUAUCAGAAUAUUCUUGACCCUCCUCAGUUCUUCUAUCUCUAUUGUGAGAGUCAAUGGAAUCCCC
Molecule: long non-coding RNA, 469 nt
Filed under: Pan troglodytes (chimpanzee)
Lineage: Eukaryota; Metazoa; Chordata; Mammalia; Primates; Hominidae
Description: long non-coding RNA NONPTRT018477
Source: RNAcentral